AGUCUGGUGCCAGCAGCCGCGGUAAUUCCAGCUCCAAUAGCGUAUAUUAAAGUUGUUGCAGUUAAAAAGCUCGUAGUUGAAUUUCGGGAUCAAUAUGUCGGUCGUGCCUUCGGUACGUACUGGCAUCAUUGGUUUCUCCCUUCUGACAAACCAUGAUGUCAUUAAUUUGGUGUUAUGGGGAGUUAGGACUGUUACUUUGAAAAAAUUAGAGUGUUUAAAGCAGGCUUUAGCUUGAAAACAUUAGCAUGGAAUAAUGAAAUAGGACGUUUGACCCUAUUUUGUUGGUUUCUAGGAUCGACGUAAUGAUUAAUAGGGAUAGUUGGGGGCAUUAGUAUUCAAUUGUCAGAGGUGAAAUUCUUGGAUUUAUUGAAGACUAACUACUGCGAAAGCAUUUGCCAAGGAUGUUUUCAUUAAUCAAGAACGAAAGUUAGGGGAUCGAAGACGAUCAGAUACCGUCGUAGUCUUAACCAUAAACUAUGCCGACUAGGG
This 489-nucleotide ribosomal RNA is filed under the name uncultured Glomus. Its description in RNAcentral is "SSU rRNA". It matches the Rfam family "Eukaryotic small subunit ribosomal RNA", at positions 558 to 1051 of the family's 1831-position model. Lineage: Eukaryota; Fungi; Glomeromycota; Glomeromycetes; Glomerales; Glomeraceae. The record is from RNAcentral.